UGGAGAAUAUUGCACAAUGGACGGAAGUCUGAUGCAGCAACGCCGCGUGCGGGAUGACGGCCUUCGGGUUGUAAACCGCUUUUUCUCAUGACGAAGUUUUUUGACGGUAGUGGGGGAAGAAGCACCGGCUAACUACGUGCCAGCAGCCGCGGUGAUACGUAGGGUGCGAGCGUUGUCCGGAAUUAUUGGGCGUAAAGAGCUUGUAGGCGGUUUGUCGCGUCGAUAGUGCAAACUCAGUGCUUAACGCUGAGCCUGCUGUUGAUACGGGCAGACUAGAGGAAGGUAGGGGAGAAUGGAAUUCCCGGUGGAGCGGUGGAAUGCGCAGAUAUCGGGAGGAACACCGGUGGCGAAGGCGGUUCUCUGGGCCUUUCCUGACGCUGAGAAGCGAAAGCGUGGGGAGCGAACAGG
RNAcentral lists this ribosomal RNA (408 nucleotides) under Fusobacteriota bacterium. RNAcentral describes it as "Fusobacteria bacterium partial 16S ribosomal RNA". It matches the Rfam family "Bacterial small subunit ribosomal RNA", at positions 355 to 776 of the family's 1533-position model. Lineage: Bacteria; Fusobacteriati; Fusobacteriota. The record is from RNAcentral.